RNAcentral lists this ribosomal RNA (224 nucleotides) under uncultured bacterium. RNAcentral's name for it is "partial 16S ribosomal RNA". It matches the Rfam family "Bacterial small subunit ribosomal RNA", at positions 28 to 238 of the family's 1533-position model. The record is from RNAcentral.
GACGAACGCUGGCGGCGUGCUUAACACAUGCAAGUCGAGGGCACUUUGGGGGCAACCCUGGAGUGACCGGCGAACGGGUGCGUAACACGUGAGCGACCUUGCCUCGUGGUGGGGGAUAGCCGGCCCAACGGCCGGGUAAUACCGCAUAUGGUGCUGACUCCGCAUGGAGACGGCAGCAAAGCCCUGGAGCAAUCCAGUGGCGCCACGAGGGGGGCGUCGCGGCC